UGUAUUCGAUAAUGGAGCAGUUUUAGUGGGAUGAACUACAUGAUUUUUCAUUAAAAUUUAUGAUGUUACUCGGCCAUCAGAAGGCAUGAGAUCAAUUCACAAUAUUUCUUAAAAUCUUUUUCAUGGUAUUGUUGUUGCAAUAUCAAAUUUGAGGCAUGAAAAAUUUUAAGUGUCUUUUUCAUUAUGUCCUCAUCAUUUAUAGUUUUUCCUCAUAAUAUCAGUUGGGAAACAAUCUUGAAUACAACUAAUUUAUAUUCAAUUAUGAUUUUAAAAUCUUAAAAUUGUAAGUAUAUCCACUUGUAACGAUUUCUUGAAAAUACCGUGGCCUUUAGUCGGUCAUACCUUCCUUUUAAAUCGAUCCACAAUUUAAAUGGAUCUUUCACUGUUAGAUAUUCAACCUCCAAUCCUUCAUCCAUAUGAUGAUAAAGGAAAAUUAUAGCCUUGACUUUAUCCUAACUCGAUGUUGCAUUAUUCAAGGUAAUAGUAGCAUCAAAAUCAUGAAUAACUAGGUAAAUUUCAUCAUCAAUAAUUCAUUACAAAUAAUUUUUCCGAAGUCUAUCAUAGAAUGAAUUAUUCUCAUGAUGUUAGUUUCUUUAUAAUAAAUAGUAAAUUAAUGUUUCAAAUGAAACUAUAAUAUGAGUAGUUUAUAAAUCAUAUGCAGGAAAAUAGAAGUUUAUAAAAAUAUGUUGACUUAUGAAAUAACGAAAUUUCCAAUAAAGAUAUUUUUCUAAUUGUUCUAAAAUAUUUAUCAAUUAGUUUCAAUAGAUAUCAACGCCACAGUUUGUAAGAAUUUUAAGUCUUAAUUAAUAUAAAAUUCAUCUUUCGUAUGACACACAAUGAUAAUCAUAAAUGUAUGACAGAAAAUAAUUAAAGUAUUCUAACUAGCUUGCUAUUAUAUUGUAUAAUAUUUAAUUCAGAAUUAUAUAUAAGUUAUAGGACACAUAAUAACAUAAUAAUUUAAACAUGAAACAUAACAAUUAUCAUGCAAAUUUAAGUAUUAUAAUAAUACCUAAAACUACUCAUGUAUGCAGUAAUUAAAUUAUAGAUUGAUGACUUACGAAGAUCCUAAUAGAGAUAUUAUCAAUCUAGGAGUGCAUAGCUAAAUCAAAAAGAAAAUUGACUACCAUUUAUAAAAAGAGAUGAUUCUGGUUUAAAUGGAUCACAACUGGUUAAAGACACAUAUUGAUAGUGUAUUUUAAAAUGAGACACAAAUAUAAAUACUAAACAAUAAACGAAGACAAGAGUUAUGAUAGAGAUUGUUUAUUUCUUGCAUUCUUCUACAUCUUUUGAUUGUGUCUUUCCUGAAUAAUGAUCGCCUAUUUAUAGAAUAAAAUGACUUCUCACGUUACAAGAAUUAAAUGUGUUUAUUCAUUCAGUAUAAGAAUGUCAAAGAGAGUUAUAAAAGAGACAACUACAUUCAACAACAGGCAUUACGAGAGGACAUCCAUAUUCAAUGCAUUUAUAAUAUUUUUUAAAAUUUAAUUUAUAAAGAAAAAUUAAAAUAAAAAAUAAUGCAAUAAAUGAUCAGAAGUCAAAAACAUUGUAGAGUAAUUUAAAAAAGGAGAAAUAAAAAAGAAAAAUUUGAGAUGCACAAAUAAAAUUAAGAAAAAAUGGAGUGUAAGAGAAGCAAAUAAAAUUGACGUGGUGAAAAAAGAAAAACUCUCCGUCAUUGGCGCGAGGUUCAUCUCAGACAACCUACAAAUCUCGACUCAAUAAUUACUAGCUUAUUUGGCGCACAUCGUCUCACCAUGUUGCGAAGGUAACCCUAAUCAAAAUCUAAACUUCUACACUUACCAGUUCAUAACUUUUAUUCAUUGAUUAGGUUUUAACAACACAAAAUUAGACUUAUUAUUUUGGAGUAUUCAAAAUCUCACAAUCUUGCAAUAAAAUUAAAAAUUUUCUUUUCUGAAUAAUAAAACAACAUAAGAAAAAACAUAAAUAAAACAACAACAUAUCAAUUUCUUCAAUAAAUUGAUCAAACUUUAGUUUUGAUCUCUAAAGAAGUUUUCAACUUUCAAAUGAGUAAUAUCAUCAAGGCUAUCAAAAUUAUCAUCUUUCAAAGUCAAAUUCAACUCGACAUUAUUAUCAUAUUUUUGUGAAGGCUCUAUCUCAUCAUCACUUUUAAAAGUCAAAUGUGACUCCAUUCGGACACUCGAAGAGGCCUCACCUUCAUUUUUUUUUAAAGGAAUGUUGAUAAACUUAGCAAAAUUCUUAGGCGUCCAACAUUUUUUCGAUGUCUUUUAGGUCAUAAUGAUGAUAAUAGACUUUUGAAUGAUUGCUUUGGGAGCUCAUUUGGCUCUCUCUAUUAUGAUUAUUACCAUCACAGUGAUUAUUAUGUCGUCCCCUGCAAUUGCCAUGCCUAUGUACAUUAUUCUAACCCCAAUUUUGUCUUUUUCCAGACUGACCAUAUUCUUCUAUCUCUCUUUUUUUUCUUUUUAUAAUGGAGCAGUUUCAGUGGAGCGAACUACAUGAUCUUUCAUUAAAAAAGUAUUAUGUUGCUCAGCCAACAGAAGACAUGAGAUUAAUUCAGAAUAUUUGUGAAUUUUUUUUAUGAUAUUAUUGUUGCAAUAUCACUUUUGAGGCAUGAAAAUAAUGUCUUUUCCACCAUGUUCUCGUCAUUUAUAGUUUUUUCUUAUAAUUUGAGUUGGGAAAC
Molecule: long non-coding RNA, 2653 nt
Filed under: Capsicum annuum
Lineage: Eukaryota; Viridiplantae; Streptophyta; Magnoliopsida; Solanales; Solanaceae
Description: long non-coding RNA (CANN_LNC009990)
Source: RNAcentral